AUGCCUUUCCUUUGGACCUUGGCACUUUUAAUUGUGGUUGUCUCAGAGGUGAGUCUUGGAUUGCCAAUUAGCCAGCCAGAAGCCAUUGUGUCUGUCACCCAAGGAGACCCUAUCAUUCUCAAAUGCAUCUACGAUACAACAGUUGACUAUCUGUUUUGGUACAUUCAGCAUCCUGGUUGUCCUCCUACAGUCUUUUGGAGGGAACUUGGAAGUGAAACUUCAAAUGAGGGGCACAUCCGAAAUUUCAGUGCCGCAAAGAAUAAAAGUGCGAAGACCUUCAACAUGAAGAAAUCUGUCAGCCAACUGAGCGAUUCCGCUGUCUAUUUCUGUGCUGGGAGAGACACAGUGAGAUGGGUCAAUAGAGAAGCCAAGCAAAAACAUGCAAAGGGGAAAGGGUGCAUCCACAGUGUUGAAUUCAUGCAGUUUGAGCAUUGGACUACAGCUUGGGAGAUCAGUGUUGGGAUCAUUAAUCCUUUUGAGUCAGGCAGCAAAAUAUCUUGGGCUGCUCUGUGGAGGAUGUCCUGCAUAAAGCUGACUUCCUUGAAGUCACUCUACAGAAAAAUUGAGAAAAACCACAAGUGGUUAAACAAAAACCAGAUGAUAGAAAGACAAAAUUUACAUAUCAGCUCUGACUCUAGUGUUGGUAACCACCUAGUGGAGAGAUCUCGAAAGCCAUACUACUAAAGAUUGUUUUAGAUCCAGUCUUGUUUCCAGCAGGUUCAGUCUUGCUAUCUACUUAUUCUUCACCAUGAUGUCUGAACUGACAUUGGUUCUGCUAUUGGUGAUCAUUUCAGGUGAGCAGCAUUUUUAUUAAAAACUUUUGGGUCUCCUUUGGAUAACUAGUCAUAGCUAUAAUCAGGUGGAACAAGU
Molecule: non-coding RNA, 870 nt
Organism: Anolis carolinensis (green anole)
Lineage: Eukaryota; Metazoa; Chordata; Lepidosauria; Squamata; Anolidae
Source: the annotation of a RefSeq genome assembly